UUUGUUUGUGUCUGUGGAGGAAGAUCCAUGCCAGCUAUGGGCGAAAGGAUCCACGUAAACCGUGAGAAGAACUUGCGGUGAUCAUGGCAUAGCUUAGAAGUAAGUCCUCGGAGAAACUCCGGUCAAGGCAAGUGUGGGGGCAAAGACCAGGUCAGGCAAAUAAG
Regulatory RNA element from Eubacterium infirmum F0142, 164 nucleotides. It matches the Rfam family "raiA RNA". NCBI's taxonomy places the organism in Bacteria, Bacillati, Bacillota, Clostridia, Peptostreptococcales, Anaerovoracaceae. The record is from Rfam.